Molecule: long non-coding RNA, 5059 nt
Organism: Callithrix jacchus (white-tufted-ear marmoset)
Lineage: Eukaryota; Metazoa; Chordata; Mammalia; Primates; Cebidae
Source: Ensembl
AUGUGCGGGGCCGGAACACCCAGACCCCAACUCUCCAGAGGAACGGGCGACCGGGCUGCUGUUCCCGGUCACCAACGCACACGAAACGUUCAAUCAAUCCACGGAAGGCUGGCUCCCCGUACCUUCCUCCCCUGCCCCGGCUCCCCAGGCCCCACCUCCCCGGCUGCCGAGACCAGGCAGGGCUCCACGUACUUUCGCCGAGAUGAAGUUUGGGGCUCCCCGGGCGGCCACGAGCCGCCCGCCGGCGUGAGGGCUCCGUUGUUGUUUUCCUGGGGCCGCUCCAGCCCGCGCCCCGGCGCCCGUGCCCCUCUCGGGCGGCGCUGCCUGUGUGCCGAGAGGUGCUGCUUGCAAACGCAGCCUGGCACCGGCUGGCCUACUACUCCCCGGCCCGGCCCCCAGCCUCCCGCUCGCAGGGCACUGCCUCCCGGCCCCCCGCCCCCGGCCCCCGCCGGCGCGGCCGCCGCGACCCUCGCCCCCGACCUCUUCCGACCCAAAGUUUUGGCGGAGGGGGAAAGUGUCCGGGCGGCGGGCCGGCGGCGGCGGCGGCUCCGGACGCGCGGGGUUCCCUCCGUCUUCCUCAAGUCCACCCUACCGGCUGCCGCCGCCGCUGCUCCUGCCGCGGAGUCCUUGGGGCUGCAGCCCGGCGGCUCGCAAGUGGCAUAUCCCGUAAGUGCAUUGAGCUCAUUGAGUGACUGCUGAGGUGUGAUUUGAAGCAUUCAGGGAAGGCUACUCUUAUGUCCUGAAAUAGUUCUCUGGCUGACCUACAGCGAUGCCUGGCAUAGUGGGCACUUAAUACACGCUUGUGAGUAAAUGGUUGCAUGAAUAUUGAAUGUCUAAGUCUCUUAUUAAAAUGCAAAUAUUCCAAGAGGGAUGACAAAUAAAGUGUCAAUGGCUAUUAACAAUUUGAUAGGCUGGGGACUUGUUAUUGAAACUCUUUUCAUUGUGGUCAGUCUGUGCAAUAGGCUCAUAAGGCUAAUUACUGUGGAAGAUAGAGCUAGAGUGGAGGCUUACCUAGGGAGGGUGUAUCCGGCACAUCAGUUUUACAAAUAUGCCUACACCCCAUCUACAUUUGUCCCCUGGGCUGCCAUAAUACAUGAGCACAAACUAUGUAGCUUAGAAUGACAGAAAUGGAUUGUCUCACAGUUCUGGAGGCCAGAAGUCUGACAUCAAGGUGUCAGCAGGGCCAUGGCCUCAUUGAAGGCUCUAGGGAAGAAUCCUUCCUUCUUUCUUCCUACCUUUGGGUUAUCAAGAACCCUUGGGGUUCCUUGUCCUGUAGAUGCAGUUCUCUAAUUUCUGCUCUUCACAUGGCAUUCUACCUUCUGUGCCUGUGUGUUCCCGUAUCUCUCUUUUCUCUUCUUACAAGGACACUAGUCAUUGGAUUGGGGUACACCCUACUUUAGUAUGACAUCAUUUUAAUUUAACUAAUUAUAUGCAAGUAUCCUAUUUCCAAAUAAUUUUGCAUUCUGAGGGUCUAGUUGGACAUGAAUUUCUGGGGAACACUGUUCAACCCAGCAUACCACUUAUUAUGGCUAGAUGAUGGUUAAAUACUCAGCUCACCUCUAAGAAAAAUCUGUUUGUGGGGACCAGUAAUCAUCUAUGAUAUGGGGCAGUGACACUCACAGGUACAUGUGUACAUCACUGGGUAGCAUAAAGGCACUUUUCACUUACUGAGUGUGAGAGGUAACCUAGAAGAUCCACACGGUAGGAAAAAAAGAAUGGCAAAAACAUUAAUUGACUUUAAAAACACAUUGUAAGUACAUAUGAUGGGCCAGGCUUUGGGUGAAGGACUGGAAAAAGAGCGGUAAAUGAAAGAGAUAUUACUCAUGUCCCCAGGAAAUAUGCAGUCCAGCAGGAAAAGAUAGACAAUAAAGAUGUAUAGAAUAUAUACACACUUGAAAUUCUAAAACUGAAGAAGUGUUAUGAGAUUUACAGAGUGGUCUAUGAAUGAGAACAACUGAGAGGAAGCCACUGGGCUAUGGUGGUCAGGUAGAAACACUGACACCAUGACUUGAAGGAUGAGCCAAGAACAGGUGUUUCACUUCCUUCAUCAGUCUGUUGGGACUGCUGCUGAGCAGAGAUCUCAAAACUCAGCAAUUAGACGAGGGUGUUUGUAUCCUAUCCCGCAUCUUAACUGUUUAGUUGUACUCUAGAUAGAAGCUCUGUCUGGCAUUUCUCUUCUCACUUUUACCCACCCUUUCCCCACCCUGAUGGACACAAAUGUGUAUUUCCUACUUUUUUCUGAGUCAUUUGAGGGUUGCAGAUAUUUUAACUUUUUAGCCCGACAGUUUCAGCAUGCCUAAGCAAAAAGACAUUUUUCUUUAUUUUUUAGACGGAGUUUCGCUCUUGUUACCCAGGCUGGAAUACAAUGGCGCGAUCUCGGCUCACCGCAACCUCCGUCUCCUGAGUUCAGGCAAUUCUCCUGCCUCAGCCUCCCGAGUAGCUGGGAUUACAGGUACGUGCCACCAUGCCCAGCUAAUUUUUUGUAUUUUUAGUAGAGAUGGGGUUUCACCAUGUUGACCAGGAUGGUCUCGAUCUCUUGACCUCGUGAUCCACCCGCCUUGGCCUCCCAAAGUGCUGGGAUUACAGGCUUGAGCCACUGUGCCCGGCUGCAAAAAGUUAUUUUUCUACUUAACUACAGUGCAAUUAUUACACUUGGACAAUUUAACAUCAAUACAAUGUUAUUUAAUUACAAUCCAUAAUUUAAAUUCUCUGAAUUGCUUCAAUAGUAUACUUUUUGAAUAUAUUUUCUUCUGAUCCGGAAUCCAAUCCAGAAUCAAGCAUUAUAUUUAGUUGACCUGCCUUCUUAGUCUCUUUUUUUUUUGCGGGGGGGGGAUGGUGUCUCACUCUAUUGUCCAGGCUGGAGUGUAGUGAUACUAUCUUGGCUCACUGCAACUUCCGCCUCCAGGGUUCAGGCAAUUCUCCUGCCUCAGCCUCCUGAGUAGCUGGGACUACAGGCGUGCCACCACACCCAGCUCAUUUUUGUAAUUUUAGUAGAGAUGGGGGUUCACCAUGUUGGCCAGGAUGGUCUUGAUCUCUUGACCUCAUGAUCUGCCCUCCUCAGCCUCCCAAAGUGCUGGGAUUACAGGCAUGAACCACCAUGCCUGGCCUUAGUCUCUCUUAGUCUACAACAGUUUCCCAAACAUUUUUGUCUUUUAUGACAUUGACAUUUUGAAAGAGUCCAAGUUACUGCUUUGUAGAGUGUCCAAUAGAGACUCAAACAUAUACUGGAUGUGUAGCAUAGUUUUUGGUAUUUUGUCAAAAUGCUUACUUGGAGAUUUGCAAUGGACUGAAAUUGCUAGCAACCUAUAUGGAUGCAGUUCAAAUCAUCCUGAAUCAGUUUCAUGGGGGUGUGAAUGAUAUUUUGUUAAAGGGGGAGCAUUAUGAAAAAGUAAAAACUAGUUUCUUUGCUGCAGGACUAUAUAAAGGUUAGUAUAUAGAUUUUAUAUACUAACAGACAUUAUAAAUCUUUAAAAGCAUUGUAGAAUACAGGGUUUCCCAAACUUAUGUGAUCACAGAACACUUUGAGGACCAUAUCAGAUAUCUAUUACUGAAAAAUUACCUACCGUUUAUGGGCUUAAAAUAUACCAAACAUCAUCUUAUACAGUUUCUGAGAAUCGGGAAUCUAGAAGUUUCUUUUUUUUUUUUUUUUUUUUUGAGACAGAGUUUCGCCCUUGUUACCCAGGCUGGAGUGCAAUGGCGCUAUCUCGGCUCACUGCAACCUCUGCCUCCUGGGUUCAGGCAAUUCUCCUGCCUCAGCCUCCCGAGUAGCUGGGAUUACAGGCACGCACCACCAUGCCCAGCUAAUUUUUUGUAUUUUUAGUAGAGACGGGGUUUCACCAUGUUGACCAGGAUGGUCUUGAUCUCUUGUCCUCGUGAUCCACCCGCCUCGGCCUCCCAAAGUGCUGGGAUUACAGGCGUGAGCCACCACGCCCGGCCUGGAAUCUAGAAGUUUCUUAACUGGGUGGUUCUCAUUCAAAGUCUCUCCUUAGAUUGUAAUGAAGAUGUUAUGUGGGGCUGCAAUCAUCUGAAAGCUUGAAGAGAGCUGAAAGGUCUGCUUUCAAGGUGACUCCAUCACGUGGCUGUUCGUAGGAGGCCUCAAUUCCUCACCAUGGGGCCCUCACCAUAGGGCUGCCUGAAUAUUCUCAUGACAUGGUAGCUGCUUUCCCGCAGAAUGAAUGAUCUGAAAGAGAUCAAGGAGAAAGCUGUAAUGUCUUAUGACCUCAUAUCAGAUGUCACAUAUGCUCACAUCUACUAAUGAGGCACUAACUCCACCCCACAUUCAAGAAGAGAAGAACUAGGUUUCUCUGCCUUUUCCUUUUGUAGGCUCUAACUUUUGAAUAGAAUAGUGUCCAAUAAUUUGUGAACAUAUUUUUAAACCACUAUAAAGACCAUGUUGAGGGUAUAGAAUUUUUCAUAACACACUUUAGAAAAUAUUAGUUAAAAUGUUGAAAGCAUUCAGAGUUGACUGGAUGUGGUGGCUCACACCUAUAAUCCCACCACUUUGGGAGGCCUGAUCACCUGAGAUCAGCAGUUCCAGACAAGCCUGACCAGCAUGGCGAAACCCUGUCUCUACCAAAAUACAAAAAAUUAGCUGGGCAUAGUGGCACACACCUAUAUUCCCAGCUACUCAAGAGGCUGAGGCAGGAGAAUCACUGGAAUCCGGGAGGCGGAGGUUGCAGUGAGCCAAGAUCGCACCACUGCACUCCAGCCUUGAUGACAGAGUGAGACUAUGUCUCAAAAAAAAAAAAAAAAAAAAAAACUAUACACACACACACACAUAUAUGUUAAAAUGUUGAGAGUUCUGGGUGAGAAAUUAGAAGGGGCGUGUCUAAAGUCAGACUCAUUUAUUAGCUGCAUCAACUUGGGCUUUCUUUUAACUUUGUGAGCCUGAAUUUUUAUGUAAGUAAAAUGAAGGUAAUGAUAAUAUUUAUCUUUGAAGUAUCUUCGGGUUGUUGUGAAGAUAAACCAAAGCACAUAAAAACUCUUUAACAAUUAUAACGUAUACACAAAUGUUCACACAUACUAAAACUGUUGGCCAACAUAUGAGCAUCAAAAUAAG